RNAcentral lists this unclassified non-coding RNA (188 nucleotides) under plant metagenome. RNAcentral describes it as "partial contains small subunit ribosomal RNA, internal transcribed spacer 1, and 5.8S ribosomal RNA". The stretch from base 140 to 188 matches the Rfam family "5.8S ribosomal RNA", at positions 1 to 49 of the family's 154-position model. The record is from RNAcentral.
UUUCCGUAGGUGAACCUGCGGAAGGAUCAUUAGUGAACGCCCUCGCGGGCUUAUAACUAUUCCAAACCUCUGUGAACCGUGCCCUUCGGGGCUAUUUUACAAACAUGGUGUAAUGAACGUCAUAUAUCAUAACAAACAAAACUUUCAACAACGGAUCUCUUGGCUCUCGCAUCGAUGAAGAUCGCAGC